AUGGAACCUUCACAAACAAGAAAUACACUACGUACGAAUCCCACAACUGGCAAAUUUGGUGGAGAGCAACAGUUCCCUGCAGUGGGAAGAACAAAAAGCUCUUGCUGAAGGAGGCAUAAGAGGAGGCAUCAACCAUUGUUGACAGCUUAUAUGCAAAAUUGAGAAACCAACAAAGAAGCCAUGGUACUGAUUCAAUCUAUCGAUAGAAACAACAUAACUUCCAGAGCGCGAAAAAAAAACCUUAAUGAUUGGGAAUUGUUCUUCAAUAAUGGAAGUUCUCUUUGUUGAGGCAAAAUUUAGAUAUGUAUGAUGUGUAAUCAUUGUUAUUGAUAUUUAUAGACAACCCAGAGCAAUUUGAUUAUAUAUUAAUUAAUGAUGAUGAUAUGUAGAAACUCAUGUAAACAUAUACAGGUUGUGCUCACUUGUUUUGCUUUCUUACUGUUUUCAUGUUAUAAUUUCAGCUCCAGGCUGGAAAGUCACACGAUUUUCAUUGUUAGCUCCAGUAAGAAAUGAAAAGAGAAAAUAAAGGCAGAAUACUUUUAAGCUAUCUAAAUUUGAGCUUACCUCAAAGUACAAGGUGGAU
Beta vulgaris subsp. vulgaris (sugar beet) is the source of this 583-nucleotide long non-coding RNA. RefSeq lists it as uncharacterized. The record is from RefSeq and is a predicted model, not a curated record. The transcript is spliced from 2 exons. Lineage: Eukaryota; Viridiplantae; Streptophyta; Magnoliopsida; Caryophyllales; Amaranthaceae.